This 253-nucleotide ribosomal RNA is filed under the name uncultured bacterium. RNAcentral's name for it is "partial 16S ribosomal RNA". It matches the Rfam family "Bacterial small subunit ribosomal RNA", at positions 524 to 776 of the family's 1533-position model. The record is from RNAcentral.
UACGGGGGGGGCAAGCGUUGUUCGGAAUUACUGGGCGUAAAGGGCUCGUAGGCGGCCAACUAAGUCAGACGUGAAAUCCCUCGGCUUAACCGGGGAACUGCGUCUGAUACUGGAUGGCUUGAGUGUGGGAGAGGGAUGCGGAAUUCCAGGUGUAGCGGUGAAAUGCGUAGAUAUCUGGAGGAACACCGGUGGCGAAGGCGGCAUCCUGGACCAUAACUGACGCUGAAUAGCGAAAGCCAGGGGAGCAAACGGG